This 261-nucleotide ribosomal RNA is filed under the name uncultured prokaryote. RNAcentral describes it as "partial 16S ribosomal RNA". It matches the Rfam family "Bacterial small subunit ribosomal RNA", at positions 524 to 784 of the family's 1533-position model. The record is from RNAcentral.
UACGGAGGAUCCGAGCGUUAUCCGGAUUUAUUGGGUUUAAAGGGUGCGCAGGCGGGGGAUUAAGUCGGUGGUGAAAUUUUGCAGCUCAACUGUAAAAGUGCCAUUGAUACUGGUUUUCUUGAGUGUGGAUGAAGUAGGCGGGAUUUGUGGUGUAGCGGUGAAAUGCAUAGAUAUCACGAGGAACUCCGAUUGCGCAGGCAGCUUACUAAACCAUAACUGACGCUCAGGCACGAAGGCGUGGGGAUCAAACAGGAUUAGAUA